UACGUAGGUGGCAAGCGCUGUCCGGAAUUACUGGGCGUAAAGGGCGUGUAGGUGGUCAAACAAGUCAGAUGUGAAACCCCGGAGCUUAACUUCGGGCAUGGAUAUGAAACUGUAUGACUUGAGGGCAAGAGAGGAAAGUGGAAUUCCUAGUGUAGCGGUGAAAUGCGUAGAUACUAGGAGGAACACCAGUGGCGAAGGCGACUUUCUGGAUUGACCCUGACACUGAGGCGCGAAAGCGUGGGGAGCAAACAGGAUUAGAUACCCCUGUA
Molecule: ribosomal RNA, 269 nt
Filed under: uncultured prokaryote
Description: partial 16S ribosomal RNA
Rfam family: Bacterial small subunit ribosomal RNA
Source: RNAcentral